AAGUGAGUUUGAUCCUGGCUCCGGAUGAACGCUAGCAAUAUACUUAACACAUGCUAGUCGAAUGUUUAUAAGACAUGGCGAACGGGUGCGUAAUACAUAGAAAAUUUGCUUUAAAGUAGAGAAAUAAUUCUAUUAUUAAAAUCAAAUUAUAAUUUAUUAUUUUUGCUCUUUUAAUAAAGAAAAAUGUCCUAUAAUUUAAGAAAAGGUAUAAAUACCGCUUUAAAAUGAGUCUAUGCAAGAUUAGGUAGUUGGUUAGGUAAAUGCUGACCAAGCCGAAGAUCUUUAGUUGGUCUGAGAGGACGAUCAGCCACACUGGAACUGAGAUAAGGUCCAGGCUUUAAGCCAGCAGUGUGGAAUCUUGGACAAUGGGCGAAAGCUUGAUCCAGUAAUAUUGCGUGAAUGAGGAAAGCAUAAAAGAUUUCUAUCCUUCUCUUUUGAUCGAUAGGAAUUGGCUGUAAAGUUAUUUCACUAAUGAAGAUUAUGACAUUAAUUAGAGAAGAAGCUCCGGCUAAUUUCGUGCCAGCAGCCGCGGUAAUACGAAAGGAGCAAGCGUUAUCCUAAAUGAUUGGGCGUAAAGGGUUCGUAGGCUGUAUUAAUUUUUAUAUGUAAAAAAAUAAGAUAAUCUCUUAUUCCUGCAUACAAUACGUUAAUACUUGAGUAUAAUUGAGGAUAGCAGAAUUUUAUUAGGAGGAGUAAAAUCCAUAAAUCAAUGAAGGAAUGCCAGAGGCGAAGGCGGCUAUCUGGGUUAUUACUGACGUUGAGGAACGAAAGCAUGGGUAGCAAACAGGGUUAGAUAUUCUGGUAGUCCAUGCUGUCAAAGAUGAGUGUUAAUAUUGGGUUAUUCUGAUAUACAGCUAACGCGUUAAACAUUCCGCCUGGGGAGUACGGUCGCAAGGCUGGAACUCAAAGGAAUUGACGGGGAUCUACACAAGUGGUGGAGCAUGUGGUUUAAUGCGAUAAUACGCGCGAAAUCUUACCAGUUCUUGAAUAUUACAAAAUCAAUAAUUUUAUUUUAUUGCUGGUAUGAAGAUUUAGUGCAUUUUUAACUAUUGUUUUACAGGUGUUGCAUGGCUGUCGUCAGCUCGUGCCGUGAGGUGUUUGGUUAAAUCCAUUAACGGGCGCAACUCUUGUAUUAUUUUGGUAAUUAUUAAUUUCAUUUUUGUUAAUAGAAUUAAUAAUACAACUUCUAAUAUACUGCUAACUUCAAGUUAGAGGAAGGUGAGAAUUACGUCAAGUCCUUAUGGCCCUUAUGGACUGGGCUACACACGUGCUACAAUGAAUUUAACAAAGAGGUAUACAAUAAAGUCAAUUUGGAGUAAAACUCAAAAAGUUUUCGUGUUCAGAUUAUAAGCUGCAAUUCGCUUAUAUGAAGGUGGAAUCACAAGUAAUCGUAAAUCAGCAUGUUACGGUGAAAAUGUACCUAGAUUUUGCACACACCGCCCGUCACAUGCCGGAAGUGCGUUUUGUUUGAAAUUGAUUCUUUUAUUUCAUGUAACUGAAAUUAAUUCUAAAUGAUUUUUCAGUUUUACGGUUUUUUGAAGAAUUACUUAUUAUAGAGCAUAUGACUGGGAUGAAGUCGUAACAAGGUAGUCGUACGGGAACGUGUGGCUGG
RNAcentral lists this ribosomal RNA (1612 nucleotides) under Durinskia baltica. RNAcentral describes it as "partial Bacterial small subunit ribosomal RNA". It matches the Rfam family "Bacterial small subunit ribosomal RNA". Lineage: Eukaryota; Dinophyceae; Peridiniales; Kryptoperidiniaceae. The record is from RNAcentral.